CUGGAUUUUUGAUAUCCAUGAGCUGUAAGCUGUAAUCUUCAAGAUUGAAACAAAAAAGGCUUGAAAUGUUUCACUUUGUUUGUAAUGCAUCUAGGAUAUAUGAAGGUGUCACUUUUUGAUUAGAAUCACGGUAAAACAAUACAAAAUAACUUUUCCACAAUAUUAAAUUUCUUUGAGUUGCACCUGUAUUAGACGACUGCAAGGUGCAAAAACUAGUGAGUUGGUGUCCUCGUUUUUGAGACACAUCUCCGCAAGAUGAGAGCCAAGUGGAGGAAGAAGCGUAUGCGCAGGCUGAAGCGUAAAAGGCGAAAGAUGAGGCAGAGGUCCAAGUAGACUGACCCCCAUUUCCUGCUGCUGUGAUCCCCUCCCAAGCCCUCUGAAGCCUGCGGUCCUUGUGCCACAGCCGGUCCAAGGUUGUCUAAAGCUGACCUCACUGCAACUGACUAAAGGACUGAUCGUGGCUACCCAGCCCUCUAGUUUGCCAAUGGUGUAUUGCUGUCUUGACUACUGGAGUAUGCGGAGAACUUGAAUUCCCAUGUCAAACUCUGGAUUGUCCACCUUCCUAGAACAGCUGAUUUGGAAAGACUAAAAUAAAUCUUUGGUUUACUAAUUA
Long non-coding RNA from Esox lucius (northern pike), 613 nucleotides. The record is from Ensembl. NCBI's taxonomy places the organism in Eukaryota, Metazoa, Chordata, Actinopteri, Esociformes, Esocidae.